UGGAGCCUGCGGUUUAAUGGACUCAACGCCGGGAAACUCACCAGAUAAGACAGCUGAAUGAUAGUCGGGCUGAAGACUCUACUUGACUAGCUGAGAGGAGGUGCAUGGCCGUCGUCAGUUCGUACUGUGAAGCAUCCUGUUAAGUCAGGCAACGAGCGAGACCCACGCCAACAGUUGCCAGCUCGUCCUCCGGGAUGGUGGGGACACUGUUGGGACCGCCUCUGCUAAAGAGGAGGAAGGAAUGGGCAACGGUAGGUCAGCAUGCCCCGAAUUAUCUGGGCUACACGCGGGCUACAAUGGGUGGGACAAUGGGUAUCGACACCGAAAGGUGAAGGCAAUCUCCUAAACCCAUCCGUAGUUCGGAUUGUGGGCUGCAACUCGCCCACAUGAAGCUGGAAUCUGUAGUAAUCGUGUCUCAAAAUGGCACGGUGAAUAUGUCCCUGCUCCUU
Molecule: ribosomal RNA, 449 nt
Filed under: uncultured Methanomicrobiales archaeon
Lineage: Archaea; Methanobacteriati; Methanobacteriota; Methanomicrobia; Methanomicrobiales
Description: bacterial SSU rRNA
Rfam family: Archaeal small subunit ribosomal RNA
Source: RNAcentral